Molecule: unclassified non-coding RNA, 168 nt
Filed under: uncultured Mycosphaerellaceae
Lineage: Eukaryota; Fungi; Ascomycota; Dothideomycetes; Mycosphaerellales; Mycosphaerellaceae
Also listed under: 1 other name
Description: sequence contains ITS2
Source: RNAcentral
UCCUCUCUCAAACCCCCGGGUUUGGUGUUGGACCGCGUUGGCCGCAAGGCCCAACUGGUCUCAAAGACAAUGACGGCGUCCCAGGGACCCUCUUCGCACUGAGCUUUCCGGAGCACGCGUAGAGUUUCAAGGGCCCAGGGACCCGGUCGCCUCUAAAAACUUUUUUCA